This 892-nucleotide ribosomal RNA is filed under the name uncultured archaeon. Its description in RNAcentral is "bacterial SSU rRNA". It matches the Rfam family "Archaeal small subunit ribosomal RNA", at positions 459 to 1353 of the family's 1478-position model. The record is from RNAcentral.
CAGCCGCCGCGGUAAUACCUGCAGCUCGAGUGGUGGCCGCUAUUAUUGGGCCUAAAACGUCCGUAGCCGGUUUAAUAAAUGCCUGGGUAAAUCGUGUAGCUUAACUAUACGAAUUCCGGGUAGACUGCUAAACUUGAGACCGGGAGAAGCUAGAGGUACUCCUGGGGUAGAGGUGAAAUUCUGUAAUCCUAGGGGGACCACCAGUGGCGAAGGCGUCUGGCUAGAACGGGUCCGACGGUGAGGGACGAAGCCUUGGGGCGCAAACCGGAUUAGAUACCCGGGUAGUCCAGGGUGUAAACGCUGCUUGCUUGAUGUUGGUUGGGCUCCGAGCCCAAUCAGUGUCGGAGAGAAGUUGUUAAGCAAGCUGCCUGGGAAGUACGGUCGCAAGACUGAAACUUAAAGGAAUUGGCGGGGGAGCACAGCAACGGGUGGAGCGUGCGGUUUAAUUGGAUUCAACGCCGGAAAACUCACCGGAGGCGACGGUUACAUGAAGGCCAGGCUGAUGACCUUGCCUGAUUUUCCGAGAGGUGGUGCAUGGCCGCCGUCAGUUCGUACCGUAAGGCGUUCUGUUAAGUCAGACAACGAACGAGACCCUCAUCUUUAAUUGCUACUGGUAAGUCCGCUUAUCAGGCACAUUAAAGAAACCGCUGGCGAUAAGUCAGAGGAAGGCGAGGGCAACGGUAGGUCAGUAUGCCCUGAAUCCUCCGGGCUACACGCGCGCUACAAAGGCUAGGACAAUGGGCUUCGACACUGAGAGGUGAAGGUAAUCCCGAAACCUAGUCGUAGUUCGGAUUGAGGGUUGAAACUCACCCUCAUGAAGCUGGAAUCCGUAGUAAUCGCAGAUCAACAUCCUGCGGUGAAUAUGCCCCUGCUCCUUGCACACACCGCCCGU